RNAcentral lists this transfer RNA (72 nucleotides) under Candidatus Shapirobacteria bacterium CG10_big_fil_rev_8_21_14_0_10_38_14. RNAcentral describes it as "tRNA-Arg". It matches the Rfam family "tRNA". Rfam says of the family: Transfer RNA (tRNA) molecules are approximately 80 nucleotides in length. Their secondary structure includes four short double-helical elements and three loops (D, anti-codon, and T loops). Lineage: Bacteria; Candidatus Shapironibacteriota. The record is from RNAcentral.
GACCUUGUAGCUCAACGGAUAGAGCCCAGGUUUCCUAAACCUGUAAUGAAGGUUCGACUCCUUCCAGGGUCA